This 69-nucleotide small nucleolar RNA is filed under the name Tursiops truncatus (common bottlenose dolphin). RNAcentral describes it as "Small nucleolar RNA SNORD112 (ENSTTRG00000025011.1)". The record is from RNAcentral. Lineage: Eukaryota; Metazoa; Chordata; Mammalia; Artiodactyla; Delphinidae.
UGGACCAAUGAUGAGACUGAUAUGAAUUAAAAUUUAUGAUUAAUCCAAAUUCAUGUACCUGUGAUCAUA